AUUGAACGCUGGCGGCAGGCCUAACACAUGCAAGUCGGGCGGAUGAAGGGAGCUUGCUCCUGGAUUCAGCGGCGGACGGGUGAGUAAUGCCUAGGAAUCUGCCUGGUAGUGGGGGAUAACGUCCGGAAACGGGCGCUAAUACCGCAUACGUCCUGAGGGAGAAAGUGGGGGAUCUUCGGACCUCACGCUAUCAGAUGAGCCUAGGUCGGAUUAGCUAGUUGGUGGGGUAAAGGCCUACCAAGGCGACGAUCCGUAACUGGUCUGAGAGGAUGAUCAGUCAAACUGGAACUGAGACACGGUCCAGACUCCUACGGGAGGCAGCAGUGGGGAAUAUUGGACAAGGGGCGAAAGCCUGAUCCAGCCAGGCCGCGUGUGUGAAGAAGGUCUUCGGAUUGUAAAGCACUUUAAGUUGGGAGGAAGGGCAGUAAGUUAAUACCUUGCUGUUUUGACGUUACCAACAGAAUAAGCACCGGCUAACUUCG
RNAcentral lists this ribosomal RNA (482 nucleotides) under uncultured bacterium. RNAcentral describes it as "partial 16S ribosomal RNA". It matches the Rfam family "Bacterial small subunit ribosomal RNA", at positions 30 to 505 of the family's 1533-position model. The record is from RNAcentral.